RNAcentral lists this ribosomal RNA (2930 nucleotides) under Escherichia coli. RNAcentral describes it as "23S ribosomal RNA". It matches the Rfam family "Bacterial large subunit ribosomal RNA". Lineage: Bacteria; Pseudomonadati; Pseudomonadota; Gammaproteobacteria; Enterobacterales; Enterobacteriaceae. The record is from RNAcentral. RNAcentral also lists the same sequence under 2 other names.
GGGUUGUGAGGUUAAGUGACUAAGCGUACACGGUGGAUGCCCUGGCAGUCAGAGGCGAUGAAGGACGUGCUAAUCUGCGAUAAGCGUCGGUAAGGUGAUAUGAACCGUUAUAACCGGCGAUUUCCGAAUGGGGAAACCCAGUGUGUUUCGACACACUAUCAUUAACUGAAUCCAUAGGUUAAUGAGGCGAACCGGGGGAACUGAAACAUCUAAGUACCCCGAGGAAAAGAAAUCAACCGAGAUUCCCCCAGUAGCGGCGAGCGAACGGGGAGCAGCCCAGAGCCUGAAUCAGUGUGUGUGUUAGUGGAAGCGUCUGGAAAGGCGCGCGAUACAGGGUGACAGCCCCGUACACAAAAAUGCACAUACUGUGAGCUCGAUGAGUAGGGCGGGACACGUGGUAUCCUGUCUGAAUAUGGGGGGACCAUCCUCCAAGGCUAAAUACUCCUGACUGACCGAUAGUGAACCAGUACCGUGAGGGAAAGGCGAAAAGAACCCCGGCGAGGGGAGUGAAAAAGAACCUGAAACCGUGUACGUACAAGCAGUGGGAGCACGCUUAGGCGUGUGACUGCGUACCUUUUGUAUAAUGGGUCAGCGACUUAUAUUCUGUAGCAAGGUUAACCGAAUAGGGGAGCCGAAGGGAAACCGAGUCUUAACUGGGCGUUAAGUUGCAGGGUAUAGACCCGAAACCCGGUGAUCUAGCCAUGGGCAGGUUGAAGGUUGGGUAACACUAACUGGAGGACCGAACCGACUAAUGUUGAAAAAUUAGCGGAUGACUUGUGGCUGGGGGUGAAAGGCCAAUCAAACCGGGAGAUAGCUGGUUCUCCCCGAAAGCUAUUUAGGUAGCGCCUCGUGAAUUCAUCUCCGGGGGUAGAGCACUGUUUCGGCAAGGGGGUCAUCCCGACUUACCAACCCGAUGCAAACUGCGAAUACCGGAGAAUGUUAUCACGGGAGACACACGGCGGGUGCUAACGUCCGUCGUGAAGAGGGAAACAACCCAGACCGCCAGCUAAGGUCCCAAAGUCAUGGUUAAGUGGGAAACGAUGUGGGAAGGCCCAGACAGCCAGGAUGUUGGCUUAGAAGCAGCCAUCAUUUAAAGAAAGCGUAAUAGCUCACUGGUCGAGUCGGCCUGCGCGGAAGAUGUAACGGGGCUAAACCAUGCACCGAAGCUGCGGCAGCGACGCUGAUGCGUUGUUGGGUAGGGGAGCGUUCUGUAAGCCUGCGAAGGUGUGCUGUGAGGCAUGCUGGAGGUAUCAGAAGUGCGAAUGCUGACAUAAGUAACGAUAAAGCGGGUGAAAAGCCCGCUCGCCGGAAGACCAAGGGUUCCUGUCCAACGUUAAUCGGGGCAGGGUGAGUCGACCCCUAAGGCGAGGCCGAAAGGCGUAGUCGAUGGGAAACAGGUUAAUAUUCCUGUACUUGGUGUUACUGCGAAGGGGGGACGGAGAAGGCUAUGUUGGCCGGGCGACGGUUGUCCCGGUUUAAGCGUGUAGGCUGGUUUUCCAGGCAAAUCCGGAAAAUCAAGGCUGAGGCGUGAUGACGAGGCACUACGGUGCUGAAGCAACAAAUGCCCUGCUUCCAGGAAAAGCCUCUAAGCAUCAGGUAACAUCAAAUCGUACCCCAAACCGACACAGGUGGUCAGGUAGAGAAUACCAAGGCGCUUGAGAGAACUCGGGUGAAGGAACUAGGCAAAAUGGUGCCGUAACUUCGGGAGAAGGCACGCUGAUAUGUAGGUGAAGCGACUUGCUCGUGGAGCUGAAAUCAGUCGAAGAUACCAGCUGGCUGCAACUGUUUAUUAAAAACACAGCACUGUGCAAACACGAAAGUGGACGUAUACGGUGUGACGCCUGCCCGGUGCCGGAAGGUUAAUUGAUGGGGUCAGCGCAAGCGAAGCUCUUGAUCGAAGCCCCGGUAAACGGCGGCCGUAACUAUAACGGUCCUAAGGUAGCGAAAUUCCUUGUCGGGUAAGUUCCGACCUGCACGAAUGGCGUAAUGAUGGCCAGGCUGUCUCCACCCGAGACUCAGUGAAAUUGAACUCGCUGUGAAGAUGCAGUGUACCCGCGGCAAGACGGAAAGACCCCGUGAACCUUUACUAUAGCUUGACACUGAACAUUGAGCCUUGAUGUGUAGGAUAGGUGGGAGGCUUUGAAGUGUGGACGCCAGUCUGCAUGGAGCCGACCUUGAAAUACCACCCUUUAAUGUUUGAUGUUCUAACGUUGACCCGUGAUCCGGGUUGCGGACAGUGUCUGGUGGGUAGUUUGACUGGGGCGGUCUCCUCCUAAAGAGUAACGGAGGAGCACGAAGGUUGGCUAAUCCUGGUCGGACAUCAGGAGGUUAGUGCAAUGGCAUAAGCCAGCUUGACUGCGAGCGUGACGGCGCGAGCAGGUGCGAAAGCAGGUCAUAGUGAUCCGGUGGUUCUGAAUGGAAGGGCCAUCGCUCAACGGAUAAAAGGUACUCCGGGGAUAACAGGCUGAUACCGCCCAAGAGUUCAUAUCGACGGCGGUGUUUGGCACCUCGAUGUCGGCUCAUCACAUCCUGGGGCUGAAGUAGGUCCCAAGGGUAUGGCUGUUCGCCAUUUAAAGUGGUACGCGAGCUGGGUUUAGAACGUCGUGAGACAGUUCGGUCCCUAUCUGCCGUGGGCGCUGGAGAACUGAGGGGGGCUGCUCCUAGUACGAGAGGACCGGAGUGGACGCAUCACUGGUGUUCGGGUUGUCAUGCCAAUGGCACUGCCCGGUAGCUAAAUGCGGAAGAGAUAAGUGCUGAAAGCAUCUAAGCACGAAACUUGCCCCGAGAUGAGUUCUCCCUGACUCCUUGAGAGUCCUGAAGGAACGUUGAAGACGACGACGUUGAUAGGCCGGGUGUGUAAGCGCAGCGAUGCGUUGAGCUAACCGGUACUAAUGAACCGUGAGGCUUAACCUUACAACGCCGAAGCUGUU